This 497-nucleotide ribosomal RNA is filed under the name uncultured bacterium. Its description in RNAcentral is "partial 16S ribosomal RNA". It matches the Rfam family "Bacterial small subunit ribosomal RNA", at positions 28 to 507 of the family's 1533-position model. The record is from RNAcentral.
GAUGAACGCUGGCGGCGUGCCUAAUACAUGCCAGUCGAGCGAACAGACGAGGAGCUUGCUCCUCUGACGUUAGCGGCGGACGGGUGAGUAACACGUGGAUAACCUACCUAUAAGACUGGGAUAACUUCGGGAAACCGGAGCUAAUACCGGAUAAUAUAUAGAACCGCAUGGUUCAAUAGUGAAAGACGGUUUUGCUGUCACUUAUAGAUGGAUCCGCGCCGCAUUAGCUAGUUGGUAAGGUAACGGCUUACCAAGGCAACGAUGCGUAGCCGACCUGAGAGGGUGAUCGGCCACACUGGAACUGAGACACGGUCCAGACUCCUACGGGAGGCAGCAGUAGGGAAUCUUCCGCAAUGGGCGAAAGCCUGACGGAGCAACGCCGCGUGAGUGAUGAAGGUCUUCGGAUCGUAAAACUCUGUUAUUAGGGAAGAACAAAUGUGUAAGUAACUAUGCACGUCUUGACGGUACCUAAUCAGAAAGCCACGGCUAACUACGUG